RNAcentral lists this small RNA (432 nucleotides) under Histoplasma ohiense. RNAcentral describes it as "hypothetical lncRNA". Lineage: Eukaryota; Fungi; Ascomycota; Eurotiomycetes; Onygenales; Ajellomycetaceae. The record is from RNAcentral.
GCCAUCUGGCUUUGACCACUUCACCAUUAGCCAUACAUCAUAACCAUCAUGUCACAAUCAUAAAACACGUUCAUGACAUAGUGCAAAUGCCAUCAUAGGACAACAUAUCAUGAUAUAUGGGGAAAACACAGAGGAUUAAGUAUGUCUAUCCCAACGCCCUAUAAGAUACCUAGGUAUAUAUAGCAUGUACAGUACAAACAGGCCUCCUUUUCCUACCAGCACAUGCAUACAAGUCUUCAACUCAAUCAUGAGAGGAAGAAAAAAAAAUUCAAUUCCAAAAAAAUUCAUUCCUUCAAGUCUUUAGGCGGAUGUGGCUCCUUGGCUAUUGUUGACAACUCUACCACCCCCUUGUGCGAUACCACAACCAUCUCUACCCCAGCCACUUCCACCACGUUCUAAAGUCGAAGGGGGAGGAUCAUUAUUGUACGACUG